UGUGGUACCAGUUUGGUUCUACUGCUGUUCUGUUGGGUCUCUGAUUCUUGUUCAUAAAUUAUUCAGCUGUUUGGAUCAUUUCAACAAACUGUGAAGCUAGAAAGUGUGUGUGAGCUGAUGUGGAUUCAGCAGCAUGGAUCAGUGUGAGGACAGAGAGGAGGGAGUCCCUCCCUCUAAAACCACUCUGUGUGGGGAAGAUGAGAGCCAGAGCAAAGGUCAGAGGAUCCAUCAAAAACGCAAACCAGAACCAGAACCAGAACCAGAGCCAGAGCCAGAGCCAGAGCCAGAGCCAGAACCAGAACCAGAACCCAGCUGUGUGUCCUUUAAGAGUAUCUGG
Poeciliopsis prolifica (blackstripe livebearer) is the source of this 337-nucleotide long non-coding RNA. RefSeq lists it as uncharacterized. The record is from RefSeq and is a predicted model, not a curated record. Lineage: Eukaryota; Metazoa; Chordata; Actinopteri; Cyprinodontiformes; Poeciliidae. The transcript has 3 exons.